This 292-nucleotide ribosomal RNA is filed under the name uncultured bacterium. Its description in RNAcentral is "partial 16S ribosomal RNA". It matches the Rfam family "Bacterial small subunit ribosomal RNA", at positions 505 to 796 of the family's 1533-position model. The record is from RNAcentral.
GUGUCAGCAGCCGCGGUAAGACGAACCGUGCGAACGUUGUUCGGAAUCACUGGGCUUAAAGGGCGCGUAGGCGGAUCAGCAAGUCCGGGGUGAAAUCCUCCGGCUUAACCGGAGAAGUGCCUUGGAUACUGCUGGUCUCGAGGGAGGUAGGGGUCAUGGGAACUUCUGGUGGAGCGGUGAAAUGCGUUGAUAUCAGAAGGAACGCCGGUGGCGAAAGCGCAUGACUGGAUCUCUUCUGACGCUGAGGCGCGAAAGCUAGGGGAGCGAACGGGAUUAGAUACCCUUGUAGUCC